Molecule: ribosomal RNA, 253 nt
Filed under: uncultured bacterium
Lineage: Bacteria
Description: partial 16S ribosomal RNA
Rfam family: Bacterial small subunit ribosomal RNA
Source: RNAcentral
UACGUAGGGGGCAAGCGUUGUCCGGAAUUAUUGGGCGUAAAGCGCGUGUAGGCGGUUUGUCGCGUCUGCUGUGAAAUUUCGGGGCUCAACCCCGAACUUGCAGUGGGUACGGGCAGACUAGAGUGUGGUAGGGGAGACUGGAAUUCCUGGUGUAGCGGUGAAAUGCGCAGAUAUCAGGAGGAACACCGAUGGCGAAGGCAGGUCUCUGGGCCAUAACUGACGCUGAGAAGCGAAAGCAUGGGGAGCGAACAGG